Molecule: long non-coding RNA, 507 nt
Filed under: Phascolarctos cinereus (koala)
Lineage: Eukaryota; Metazoa; Chordata; Mammalia; Diprotodontia; Phascolarctidae
Description: lncRNA (ENSPCIG00000028306.2)
Source: RNAcentral
UUGGUCGUCGCCCUUACGCGGUUAACCACCCUCGGACCUCAGUGGCUGAUUGGAUUUUAUAGCAUUGAUAAUCCAAAGAAAAUGCAUGAACUUUAGUCAUGGAUCACAAUAGCACUCCAGCUAAAAAAGGCCCUCUAAUAUCAUAACUGGAAGAGCAUAAAAAACUUACCCAACUGAGCCUGAGCUUGGAGAUGGAAACUGCAGCCACUCAUUGAAGAGCAAGCCUAGGAAAUUAGUAAAGAAUAUGAUUAUGGGAGUCUGGCGGUGAAAGCAAGCAUAAUAAUAACCAUUCUCAGUAAAGCAACUUCCUUCCUCCUAAAGGCAGAACUGGGCCACUUGUGUGCUUGCUUGCGGUCACAAUUUGGCUUCUAAUACACCUAACCCACUAUUUGAAUUCAAGUUGGAGUGUCAAACUGAUAAUUCACAGGCACACAUGUCGGCACUGAGAAUACAGAAGAAUACAGAAGAGUAAGACUGGGAAUACACUUUUAGUUAAUCUGUUCUUCU